GUGUGGACAGGGUUGGGUGGGGAGAGAUGCAGGGGUGAGGAGACGGGGAAGAAAGCGGCCGGGAAAUGUGUGAGUCGGAGGGAGAUGAGAAGGGAGGAGGGCCCUGACCUUCCUUCCUCUGGCCGCUUCUCCAGGCAGCAAAGAGUCACCUCCACUACCAGCUUGCCAGACUCAGUGCUGGGCAGCGAGGCAGCACGGUGACUCAGACCCAGGCCCGCCCACCAGCUCUCACAGGGCCCGUGACAGAGGAGAAAGACAAACAUGAGUGCCUGGGGGCUGAAGUAACAGCCUCAACAGAAGUCACUACAAGGGGCAGUGGCUCUAUGCUGGGGGCACUUUCUCCUGCCUGGGACAGUGGGCAGGGGUGCGGGAGGAGGAGAAGGGAGAGUCUCAGGAAGGUGGUUCCCAAGUGAAUCUUGAAGGAUGGGUAGACAUGCAUCAUUCCUCAACCUCUCUCGGCUUCAGGCGCCUCAUCGGAACAUUGGGUGUAAUUCAUGGUACUUUCUCCCCAGGCUUCUUGUGAGGACCAAAUGAACGCAUCUAUGGAGAGCUCUUAGCGCAGGGCCUGGCUAACGGUAAGCGCUCAAGUGCUGGCUGCUGACGCUAUGGUCAGGAAGGUAUUUCAGCAGAAAUAGGAGGGAGAGCAUUUCGGGCAGAGCCAACUGCAUGUACAUGGGGGCGGAAACAGCCCUACGCAGUCUGGCAGGUCCCGGGGAGUAGUGUGGAGUCACAGCGUGUGCCUCUGUGUGCUAGGCAGGAGCUGGCAUGUGGAGGAGUGGGGCUGGCCAUGGCAGCAAUCACUAGUUCAGCCAGGGAAGAGUGGGGUCCAAUGAGGUGGCCCUGGGGAGGGAAAAAUCCCCUGAGACUGGACCGCCAGGGCCCGAUCUCAACUUCCAGGGGUUGAGUCAGGGACUCAAGGCUUUAUGGGGCUUGGGUACUCUUUCUGUGAGGCUAGUGUGAGAAAGGAGAGACCUUAUGGGGUUGCAGUGGAAGAGUCUAGAGGUGCGUGUGUGUGAGAGAGAGAGAGAGAGAGAGAGAGAGAAAACUGUAGGGUUGGGGGCAUAUGAAAGGAGCAGACUCCCCUGGGCAGCUAGAAUUUGUGCCCAUUCUGGGGAGGGAACAAGAAGCUCUCCAGUACCAGGAGGUGCUGGGGCCUCUGCAGGAGGGGCCAGGAGGCCGCAACCACACAGCUGCUCCAGCUCAGCCCAGCUCCUCGCUGGCCUGCCUCAGCACCACACCUGGACUGUUUCAUCUCUGGUCAGAGCGUGGCUGGGUGUGGAUGGGAGCAUGUGUGUAUGUGUGUGUGUGUAUGUGUGUGUACACGUGACAUUUCUAGAUCAAAGAAUGCUCACAAGUUCCUGCUAGAGGUCAGGUCAUCAAGGAGUGAGGGCCUGGCCCAUCUCCUCAUGUCCUGGCACCCCGACAGCUCCUCCUACCCAAAUCCGCUGGGCCUUGGGGGCAGUGGGAGCUGACAGGUCUCUGACUCAGGCUGGGCAAGGAGGAGGGGCUGGAAGUGCCUGGGCCAAGGAGGGGCCUGGUUAGUCAUCUGCUGAGUGGCAGGUCCCACACUUAGCCCCGGGCAGGGGCAGUAUGGCUGGGGCUUUCCUGCCACCGAAACAACAGCCAGGGCUAGGGCCAGGGGUCAGGACUCAGGAUAGGACACACUCUUGGGGCCCCUGAGCAGCAGGUGGACGUCCUGGAGAUGUGGUCUUGGUGGGAGCUGAGCUGUGGCCCAGGAGCCCCUCCCUGGGCUGUGGGAGGGGAUGUGCAGAAGGAGGAGAGAAUGACACAUAUUUGGAACCCAGGCACGAACCAGGGAGGCUGGAAGUCCUCUCAAGGCUGGCGCGUAGCCUUUCCUGCACCACCACCAUCUCCUCCUCCCCAACAACACCCUCUCAAUCAAGUGCAUUUGCUCCUGCUCUACCACAGGCCUCUGCGCAGGCUGCUUUCCUUCCGGGACAGCUAAAGGGAAUCCCAAGGUGGUCCCUCCGGCACCACGGUUCUCCGAGUCCAGUUAAGUAACCUUCGCCCCCCAGUUCAACCCUAAACUCAUCAACUCUCCAAGGAGAAGAAUAGGAGUUACUCUACGAAGCAUUUGUAAGGAAGCCCUGGUGGGGCAGAGAGGCGUGUGGACUUGAGAAGCAGACCCACGUGGAUUCCACCACAGCCUGGUCUCAUCCUAGCUGUGUGCGAUCUCAGCCAUUGUAUCUGUCACCAGCUACCGUGUAACAAGCCACCACAAAACUCAGCGAGUUAAAACAACAACUGUUUAUUUGCUUAUGCUUCUAAAAUUUGCGCAGGGCUUGAUGGGACGGCUCCUUUAUUCUCCACCUGGUGUUAUGUUUUCUAAGUGAAGUCCAUGGGACAAUGGCACAGAGGAGAUAUGCACAGUACGCAUGCCCACCCUCUUCCUUGCGUCCCUGUCCCUAUAUAGAGUUCCUUUCUCUUUUGGUCCUUCCUCACCCAUCAGCCAGCCCGAGGUAGAAAACUUUGGGAGAAUCCAUGCAUAUCAAAAAGAGAAGCUCUUCCAGUAAGUGGCCUGAGGUGAUUUCUAGAAACGGUUCCCUAUUCAGUUGACCCAGAAGACCCCACAAAGUCAUGCAAAUCAAGAGGUCCAAAUCUUCGUGUUCUCUUUAAGAACACCCGUGAAACGACCCUGGUCAUCAAGGACAUGCAUACCCGAAAGCCUCCGGGUAUCUGCAGGGUGUCACUUUACAGAGGCAGCGUGUGCUGUCCCGUUGCUACAACGGCAGAGUUGGUAGGGCUGCCCUGGGCAAACUGUGCGGCUGGACAUGGGGUCAGGGUCCCGAAGGAGUGCUGAAUGUUUGCUGCACGGGAUUAAAAACGAAGAGGGCAAAGCAGAACUUAGCGGUUCAGAUGUCGAUUCUCUGGUCAUUGAGCACAUAUAGGCAAGAGUGUGCCUGUCCUAACACAGGUCCUGGCUGGCAGACCUUAGCGGUUCAGAUGUUGAUUCUCUGGUCAUUGAGCACAUAUAGGCAAGAGUGUGCCUGUCCUAACACAGGUCCUGGCUGGCUUCACCCCUGCGAGAGCACGCCUGCCACUGAGAUGCUCCUCAUUAAAGGGCAGUAGAUUGUUCCUAGACCAGAGAGAAGGCUGCACAGAAGAAAAAGUUAUCCCAGAAGAAAUACAGACUUAUGGCCAGGAAUAAGUUCAGCAUAAAAUAAAUGCAAAUAAAAGUAAA
Equus asinus (donkey) is the source of this 3202-nucleotide long non-coding RNA. The record is from Ensembl. Lineage: Eukaryota; Metazoa; Chordata; Mammalia; Perissodactyla; Equidae.